ACGACUCUCGGCAACGGAUAUCUCGGCUCACGCAUCGAUGAAGAACGUAGCAAAAUGCGAUACUUGGUGUGAAUUGCAGAAUCCCGUGAACCAUCGAGUUUUUGAACGCAAGUUGCGCCCGAAGCCAUUUGGUUGAGGGCACGUCUGCCUGGGCGUCACNC
RNAcentral lists this ribosomal RNA (161 nucleotides) under Metalasia tenuis. RNAcentral describes it as "5.8S ribosomal RNA". It matches the Rfam family "5.8S ribosomal RNA". Rfam says of the family: 5.8S ribosomal RNA (5.8S rRNA) is a component of the large subunit of the eukaryotic ribosome. It is transcribed by RNA polymerase I as part of the 45S precursor that also contains 18S and 28S rRNA. The record is from RNAcentral. Lineage: Eukaryota; Viridiplantae; Streptophyta; Magnoliopsida; Asterales; Asteraceae.